UGGGGAAUAUUGGACAAUGGGCGAAAGCCUGAUCCAGCCAUGCCGCGUGUGUGAAGAAGGUCUUCGGAUUGUAAAGCACUUUAAGUUGGGAGGAAGGGCAGUAAGCGAAUACCUUGCUGUUUUGACGUUACCGACAGAAUAAGCACCGGCUAACUCUGUGCCAGCAGCCGCGGUAAUACAGAGGGUGCAAGCGUUAAUCGGAAUUACUGGGCGUAAAGCGCGCGUAGGUGGGUCGUUAAGUUGAAUGUGAAAGCCCCGGGCUCAACCUGGGAACUGCAACCAAAACUGGCGAGCUGGAGUAGUGCAGAGGGUGGUGGAAUUUCCGGUGUAGCGGUGAAAUGCGUAGAUAAAGGAAGGAACACCAGUGGCGAAGGCGACCACCUGGGCUCUUACUGACACUGAGGUGCGAAAGCGUGGGGAGCAAACAGG
RNAcentral lists this ribosomal RNA (429 nucleotides) under Pseudomonadota bacterium. Its description in RNAcentral is "Proteobacteria bacterium partial 16S ribosomal RNA". It matches the Rfam family "Bacterial small subunit ribosomal RNA", at positions 355 to 776 of the family's 1533-position model. The record is from RNAcentral. Lineage: Bacteria; Pseudomonadati; Pseudomonadota.